Long non-coding RNA from Magallana angulata, 315 nucleotides. RefSeq lists it as uncharacterized. NCBI's taxonomy places the organism in Eukaryota, Metazoa, Mollusca, Bivalvia, Ostreida, Ostreidae. The transcript is spliced from 3 exons. The record is from RefSeq and is a predicted model, not a curated record.
GUUGUGCUGGAUGUAGAUCAUCUUGGAAGCACCCAUUGCCGUCCUUUUCGAAAGAUCUGACGCAAACAAAGACAACAUCCUCACACACAACGAGUUCUCCAAGUUUUUCUCCUCCUUUGAUACAAAUGGGGACCACAGUGUGACGCGAUCUGAGUUCGAACACGGCUGGACGUCGUCCGGAUUCGGCACCAGUACAGAGGCCGACACACUGUUCGCUGCCCUAGAUACCGACCACGACGGACGCAUCACCGCCUCACAUGACCUCAACUCAAGAUUUACCGCCCUUGAUGUCAACCAUGACCAUCACCUUUUCAU